This is a long non-coding RNA of Oncorhynchus keta (chum salmon), 220 nucleotides long. RefSeq lists it as uncharacterized. The transcript is spliced from 3 exons. The record is from RefSeq and is a predicted model, not a curated record. NCBI's taxonomy places the organism in Eukaryota, Metazoa, Chordata, Actinopteri, Salmoniformes, Salmonidae.
CAUACCCCAGACCCUCUCCUAACCCGGACAACGCUAGGCCAAUUGUGCGCCGCCUUCACGGCCGGUUGCGAUACAGCCCGGGAUCGAACCCUGGUCUGCGACACUCAGGAUCCCUCAGGUGGACAUUGCUUUUAGAUGUGAAGUCACCAGGUAUCAUGAGUUACAUUCUCCCCUAGAGAUGAAGUCACCAGGUAUCAUGAGUUACAUUCCCCCCCUAGAG